Molecule: long non-coding RNA, 1355 nt
Organism: Populus nigra (black poplar)
Lineage: Eukaryota; Viridiplantae; Streptophyta; Magnoliopsida; Malpighiales; Salicaceae
Exons: 2
Source: RefSeq, a predicted model, not a curated record
GUGUUGAUCAUGCUGCUUGAACAGCAUAUGCAGUGUCUACUAGUGGCUAAAUAAUAAGCGUCUCCAUCUCUAAAAGAUGCGUGUGAUGGUUUUUUGUCACUAUAAUUAAAGGGAUGAAUACGAUUUGAUAUUUUCUCGAAAUGUGCAAAUGAAUUGCUUUCUUUUGCAGCUGUCAAUUAGUGAUGGUUUGGAGGGCGGCAACGGAGGUGCUCCUGCCGUGCCAAUAGCAAGAGCGAUUUUGCUCGAGAUAUGGUGGCAAGAGCAGCGAGGACAUCAGCAAUAUCGGCAAGUUCAGGCCUGCUGAAUGUUUUAGGAGUAAUAUAUAUGUGAAGUUCAGGCCUGCUGUUGCUUCUCAUGCCGCGAUUUCUCCUUCUGAUAACGUUCCUGUUGCUUUCUCUGGUGGGCUUCUUCCCGGUUUACCUUUCUUUCACUGUGAACUGCCCAAACCAUACCACCAGAAAUGCUACUGUUCUCUGCCUUGCUGGUUUCCCCCCCUCUUUCUGGUUCCCUUUUUAAGGUUCAGACUUCAGACAACUGUUUCUAUAUAGAAUGUCAUUGACUCAUUGAGUUGACCCAGUAACUCGGUGUCUAAGCUUUUUCUGGUUCAGUCUUCAAGUCGGUUGGGUAACCACGAUCUCUUUUCUGCUACUGCUGCUUUCUUUCAUGGGUCCAGUGGCAAUCGAUCGAGCUUCUUUUUCUCGGGAAAUAUUUCGACGAAAGCUCUCUGGCAGUUUUAUGAGGAUAAGUUGAACAGAGUGGAUUUGUCAUGGGUUUUUUGUUGCUUCGAUUCGUUAGUCUGGACAAGCUUUUCUGGAGAUUUUGGAAUGUGGCCCUCACUGGAGGAGUCGAGAGCGGUUGCCAUUCAGAUUGAGUUUAUAUUCUCCGAUGGCACCCACAGAUUUCAUUCGAGGGAACUAAUCCUCCAUAUCCAUUGCUCGCAUUGGGCUAUGAACCUUAUAUGAGACAAGCCCAAUCUUAACCAGAGUACUCGAGGAUCAAACUUGAGUAGAGAGAGGCCAAGUAUAAAGCCUCUCCAUUAAAGGCACGACAGAUAUGAAAGGGGAACAAUUUCGGCCAAGACAGAGUUAAUUAAGAUGGUUAAUUCACCAUGGAGUGUGAUUAUUAACGUGUAAAUUAAACUAAUGAUGGUUGAAUAAGAGAUUUAUAUUAAGAAAAUUUGAAAUGGAAUAUUACUCAACAUUUAUGCAUAGAUUUCGGCUAGAAAAAAGAGAACAAGAAAAUUACGUACGGGUUCCUUUAAAAAAAAAAUGGAAAAUUUGUUUAUGAUGUGGAGAUGGAUUUUUGGAUAUGUAUGGAUAAGGAUUCAAAAUUUAUAAAAUGUACGUAUUGAUAUA